Molecule: long non-coding RNA, 3511 nt
Organism: Cavia porcellus (domestic guinea pig)
Lineage: Eukaryota; Metazoa; Chordata; Mammalia; Rodentia; Caviidae
Source: Ensembl
CUUCUGCCACCCUGUCCUGCCCGAAGGAGCUGAGCGGGUCCGAGGGCGAGACGGUGACCCUGCGGUGCACCUACGGGGAGGAGCAGCGGACCCGCACAAAUGACCCUCAGGGACCUCAUGCUGAAAGACUCCGGGAAGUACUGGUGCGGAGCACAGAAGCUGGGCCGGGAAGAAUGGUUCGAGGUCUCCCUGACUGUUUUCCCAAGAGCAGAGAGAUCCAUGGUCACCACCAGGGCCUGCUGCCCACUCUCCCCUGACCCCUCUUUCCAGGCCCUUCCGGCCACCACCGCCAGCCUGCAGCCCAGGGCGGGAGCCCAGCCCCUGCGGCCCCCCACACCCAGGAGUUCUAGCCCAGCCACGGUGCCUGACCCCUCCUCCUCCUCCUCCACGCCAGCAGGGGACCCCAGUCCUGUCUCCAGCAGCCACGGUUCCAUGGCCAGCAUGUCCAUCCCCACGGUCCGCCUGCUGGCCCCGGUCCUGGUGCUCCUGUCCCUCCUGCUGGCCAUGGGCCUCAUCACCCUGGGUGCCCACAUGUUCUGGGCUCGGAAGUCAGCACUGCUGGCUGUGGAGAUGCAGCGUGGUGAAAAGGUCCUCCUCACAGUCUCGGCUCCUGAAGCAGACAGGACCCCCAUGCCGUGCCCAGCAUCAGAGGAAGAGCCGGGCCUCUCUGAGUUCAUCUCAGUGUAGCCAUGGAUGCCCGCCAGGGCUCUGGGGGCGCUGUCCAGCAGGCCUCAGCCUAGCGCUCUCCAGGUUCCUGGGACCUCUGCACUGAGCCAUGUCCCCGCCUUUUUUAUUAUUCUGAAGCAAGGUCUGUCUCACUGAAUUGCUACUUCUGAAUUGCUGGGCCUGAAUUUAUAAUCCUACUGUCUCCGGCUCCCAGUGGGCUGGGAUCACACUCAGUGCCAGACUCUCCCUUCUGUGUGGCCCCAGCAUGGCCAAGAGGAGGGGCCAGAACAUAGCUCUGAACCACCCAGGGCCAGGCAGGGUUCAGCAGUCACCAGAUGUCUCCCCUCUGCAAAGCCCCUGCCCUGGGUCCCCCACCUGCCUCCUCCCCUUACCCAGCACAGGGCGAGCCCUGACAUCUCAGGAUGAGGCUGUGAACCCCUGCACCUGGCCCUGGGGGAUGCUGAGCCCCAUCAAGACCCCCAGAGCCAUCUUGAAGUCAGGCCAGGACUCUGAGGAGUGCCUGUGUCUCCUCAUGGCCAGGAAUCCCCCAGACCUCAGCUUGGGGGGUCCACACCAGGGGGCCCCUCUCAAGCAGGGCAGGGAGGGAAAAGGACCCCGAGUCUGUCCUGUGCCCUGGAGAGUGGGGGUCGAGGAGCAGGGCCACACACAUAAUUUUUCUAUUCUCUUUAAAAGUGAGAUGGGGGGCUCAGUGUACAAAACUCAAAGUUGGGGGCAAAACAGAAGGAAAGAAAGUGACCCCCAGUCUCCCCUCCUGGAGCACUGAUUCAGACUGCUCAGUGUCCCUGUGGUCCCAUGUGAUUGGUGGCUGUCCCUCCUUCAGGCUGAUGACCUCGUACCCCUCUCUAUCCUCCCCCGCCUGGCCAGCUCAUGGAGGCACCCUUCCCCUUAUUGGGCCUCUUGGGCCUCUUGAAUAAAGCUUCCUUCAAGUCACCCUGCAGCUGCACCUGGAUUCACUGCACCAACUCUGGCACCUGGCUUUGUCUGCACCUGGUGUUCUCUUUAAGAAGGAUUUGAUGGUGCACGCCUGUAAUCCCAGCACUCAGGAGGCUGAAGCAGGAGGAUCGUUGCAAAUUUGAGACUAGCCUGGGCUACAAAGUGAGCUCAAGCCCAGUAUGAACUGCAGAGUGAGAUCCUGUCUCAAAAAGACAAAAAAAUUUAAAAAACCAAAACACAAAAAAAGAGCACAAAGGACGUGGCAGGCAGCCCCGUGUUCCAUCCCCAGAAGGGAGCGGGAGGCAUCUGCAUAUAUGGCAGUAUCAGGUCACAGAACAUUUCCUUCUUUUCAGUCUUUGUUGCAGUGCUGAGAACCAAGCCCAGAGCCUCGUGCUCGCAAGGCCAGGCCAGUCCUGCCAUGCUGGGCUCCACAGGGAGAGAAGGGUCACAGUACCCAGGGUACCCCGCUCUCUGAGUGGCAUCACCAUCGGUCCUGGGGGCCCUGGCUGCAGCGCCUGUCACUGGGAAUGGGGGCAGGAGCCUCCCAGGAGGUGCUGAGCAGUGCCUGGGCCAGGGAAGGCUGUGCCAUUUACCUUGGGGAGAGGGAGCCCUAUACCCCCAGGUCCAGGAAAUUGGCUCUGGGUGGCCCCAGGUGCUGAGUCAAUGGUGAAGGAUUAGGACUUUUACAGAAGCGACCUCCCAGCUGUCUCGUGCUGAAAGCCACGCUUCCUGUCAGCCUGGCACCAAGGGACCAUUUAUCUGCCGAGCUUGGGGUACAAGACUGUCAUCCUAGCACUCGAGAGGCUGAAGCAGGAGGGUCACAGGUUGGAGCCCAGCCCAGGCAACACAGUAAGAUCCUGUCUCAAAUAAAGAUAAAAAUGGGCUGGGGGUGAGCUAAGUGCAAAGCAAAGACCAAGUGGACUGCUCUCCUUGAAUGCAGAAAAGGAAGGUCGAAGCGGGGCCCUGUGUCCACACUGCUUGCACAGAGCUAGCUGUUAUUUCCUUCUGCCUUCAGCUGGCUCCAAGGAAUGUAAAUAAAGCCAGCUAAGGUGCUGAUGCGUAAGCUUUAAGGGUAACCGGUACUUUCCUGUUUCCUCACAUUGUGUCCUCUUAAAUAGGGUGGCAGGGCCACUCCGCUCUGGGAAUGUCAGCCUCAAAGUAGGAGGCUAUGACUCCCCAGGGUACAAGUUUACAGGUCACAACCUGAAGCAGCAGCCUCCUGAAUCCGUUCUUACGCCAUCCCAAUGAAGCUAUGCAGACAGGUCUUUCUGCACAUCCUCCUCCCUGCAGCUUGCAGAGGUGCUCGCCCGCCGGCCAGCUCAGCUUACCGUGCUCACGUGGUUCCUGCCAUCCUCACUGUCACUCAUCCUCACACCACUGCCUUCUUCACAAGACAAUAAAUUGUGGGGGAGGCCUUGGAUCAGGGCCUUUGUCCGUCUCUCCUCACUUGGGUUGGACUUGGGACCACCUGGCUCUGAAUCUGCCUUGUGUCUUCCCUCUCGCUGUGGGCUGCACUGGUGGAGGUAGACUAGAAUUAACUUGCCAGGAUUCCAACUCGUUUCAGUGGGAUUACAAAUACAACUCUCCGGAUUGUGAGGACUGGGAACAGGAUCACAAUACACAGUAUUUGGGACUGGAGGCGUAGCUCAGUGGCACAGCACCUGCCCAGCAAGCACGAGGUCAGUAGUUCACUCUUUAGUACCAAAUCUAUAUAAUAUUUGGAUUAUACUACAAAGCCCUGGGUUCCUUUGAGACAGGAUCUCACUGUGUAGUUCAUGGUGGCCUUAAACUCACUUAGGUAACCCAGGCUGGCCUCAAAUUUGCAGUGAUCCUCCUGCCUCAGCCUCCCAAGUGCUGAGAUUACAGGUAUGUGCUGCCACACCUGGCCUCA